GCCUUCGUGACGACCGGCUUCUGGCCGGCGAUCUUCGUGAGGUCGCCAACGGCGUUCUCGAUGAUCUUCUUGUCGGCGACGGCU
This 84-nucleotide transfer RNA is filed under the name Burkholderia dolosa. RNAcentral's name for it is "tRNA-Thr". Lineage: Bacteria; Pseudomonadati; Pseudomonadota; Betaproteobacteria; Burkholderiales; Burkholderiaceae. The record is from RNAcentral.